RNAcentral lists this small RNA (83 nucleotides) under Algoriella xinjiangensis. Its description in RNAcentral is "Flavo-1 RNA". It matches the Rfam family "Flavo-1 RNA". Lineage: Bacteria; Pseudomonadati; Bacteroidota; Flavobacteriia; Flavobacteriales; Weeksellaceae. The record is from RNAcentral.
GAUUUGCGUUAGGGAUUGAAGUGGAAAUCCUUUUGCUGAAACGAAGUGGAAGCAAAAGAUUGCAAUGAAAAGCCCGCCCGAAG